Long non-coding RNA from Cyprinus carpio (common carp), 1950 nucleotides. Lineage: Eukaryota; Metazoa; Chordata; Actinopteri; Cypriniformes; Cyprinidae. The record is from Ensembl.
AUGCCUGAUUACAAGAUGGCGGCGCGUCCACACGCAGCGGCUUCUCUCUGUCCCGACAGAACGGUGUUUUCGUGUUUUUUGUCUUGUGAGUCGCAGUGUUUUUGUACGUCGUCAUCGCGUCUAUCUGUCUUUAAGCGCGCAUACAGUCGUGAGUUUCUGCUGGAUGUCGGCAGAGCCGCAUUUUUAGAGUUAAACUCCGCGCACGCGGAACUGCUGCGAGAUCUCGAACUGCUCCGGAGGCCUACAUCAUCACCGACCCCCUCUACUGCAUCUCGCCCACAGCGGAGGCGCCACAAGCGGCGUGAGAGGAAGCAGAAGAGGGGUAAGCGCGGAGGUAUCCGGGCUAGGCUAACGGCUAACCCACACAAGCCAUCCAUCCCCACCGUCGUACUGGCUAACGUACGCUCUUUGGACAAUAAACUGGACUACAUCCGAUUACUACGUUCAACUCAGAGGACUGUAAGAGACUGUUGUGUGUUUGUAUUCACGGAAACAUGGCUCAGCGACAGCGUUCCGGACUGCGCCAUUCAGCUCGACCAGCUGACGUGCUAUCGAGCAGACAGAGCUCGCGUCGCGGGAGGAAAAACCCGCGGCGGCGGGCUUUGUGUUUACAUCAAUGACGCGUGGUGCCGCGAUGCUGUUGUGAUCUGCAAACACUGCUCACCCCUGGUGGAGUUUAUGAUUAUUAAGUGCCGGCCGUUCUAUCUGCCGAGGGAAUAUACUGCCAUACUGCUCGUUUCGGUUUACAUUCCCCCGAACAACAGCAACAGCAACAGGAACGAUGCACUAAAUGAACUGUACCAGCACAUCAGUGAGCAGCAGACAGCACACCCCGAUGCUUUUCUCAUCAUAGCUGGGGAUUUCAACCAUGCUGACUUAAAGAGUGUGUUUCCUAAAAUACACCAACACAUUAACUUUCCAACAAGAGGUAAAAACAUUUUAGACUUUGUUUACACCACACAGAGAGGAGCUUACAAAGCCCUCCCCCUCCCCCACCUCGGUGCCUCAGACCACAUCACUGUCAUGCUAAUGCCUGCAUACAGACCGCUCGUUAAAGUCGCCAAACCAGUUCAGAAACAGAUUCAAGUGUGGCCAGAAGGAUCGUCUGAGGCUCUUCAGGACUGCUUUGAUACAACUGACUGGAAUAUGUUUAAGCAGGCUGCCACUUAUAAUAACUCCACUGACCUCCAGGAGUACUCGGAGACUGUCACUGCCUACAUCACCAAGUGUAUUGAGGAUGUAACAGUCACAAAAACCAUUACUGUCCGGGCCAACCAGAAGCCGUGGAUGACAGGGGAAGUCUACAGACUCCUGGAGACGCGGAACGCUGCCUUCAGAGCUGGAGACGAGGGGGGCCUGAGAACAGCCAGGGCCAACCUAUCCCGCGGCAUCAGAGAGGCUAAGAGACAGUACUCCAGGAGGAUAGCCCAUCAAUUCAGCGACAGCAGAGACACUCGGAGCCUGUGGCAGGGGAUACAGACCAUUACGGACUACAAGCCCCCACAGCGGACCUGUGACAGCAACAUCUCUCUGCUGAACGAGCUGAACACCUUCUUCGCUCGCUUUGAGGCACAAAACAGCUCCACUGCACAGAAGACUCCACCUCCUCCCAGUGACCAGGUGAUGAUGCUGACCCCAGACAGCGUGAGGAGAUCCUUCAGCAGGAUCAAUGCACGCAAAGCUCCGGGUCCUGACAACAUUCCUGGGCGUGUACUGAGAGACUGUGCAGCAGAACUCACUGAUGUCUUCACAGACAUUUUCAACAUCUCACUUAGUCAAGCUGUUGUUCCCACAUGCUUCAAAGCUACCACCAUCAUUCCAGUCCCGAAGAAGCCAUCUCCAUCAUGCUUCAAUGACUACCGUCCUGUUGCACUUACUCCCAAGUUUAAGCUUAAAACAAGAAUAACAAAUAAUCUUGUUUUUCCUUUGAAUUCAGUUCAUUUUUCUUAA